GUUAGGAAUAUUGGACAAUGGGCGCAAGCCUGAUCCAGCCAUGCCGCGUGAACGAUGAAGGCCUUCGGGUUGUAAAGUUCUUUAGCCGAUGAUUAUAAUGACUGUAGUCGGAAAAUAAGCCCCGGCUAACUUCGUGCCAGCAGCCGCGGUAAUACGAAGGGGGCGAGCGUUAUUCGGAAUCACUGGGCGUAAAGCGUGCGUAGGCGGUCUCGUAAGUUAGGAGUGAAAGCCCAGGGCUCAACCUUGGAAUUGCUCUUAAAACUGCAAGGCUAGAAUCUCGGAGAGGAUAGCGGAAUUGUCAGUGUAGCAGUGAAAUGCGUAGAUAUUGACAGGAACACCAGUGGCGUAAGCGGCUAUCUGGACCGACAUUGACGCUGAGGCACGAAAGCGUGGGGAUCAAACAGGAUUAGAUACCCGGGUAGUCC
RNAcentral lists this ribosomal RNA (425 nucleotides) under uncultured bacterium. Its description in RNAcentral is "partial 16S ribosomal RNA". It matches the Rfam family "Bacterial small subunit ribosomal RNA", at positions 354 to 796 of the family's 1533-position model. The record is from RNAcentral.